This 155-nucleotide ribosomal RNA is filed under the name Typhula sp. 1043. RNAcentral's name for it is "5.8S ribosomal RNA". It matches the Rfam family "5.8S ribosomal RNA". From Rfam's summary of the family: 5.8S ribosomal RNA (5.8S rRNA) is a component of the large subunit of the eukaryotic ribosome. Lineage: Eukaryota; Fungi; Basidiomycota; Agaricomycetes; Agaricales; Typhulaceae. The record is from RNAcentral.
AAUUUUCAACAACGGAUCUCUUGGCUCUCGCAUCGAUGAAGAACGCAGCGAAAUGCGAUAAGUAAUGUGAAUUGCAGAUUUCAGUGAAUCAUCGAAUCUUUGAACGCACCUUGCGCUCCUUGGUAUUCCGAGGAGCAUGCCUGUUUGAGUGUCAU